This 414-nucleotide ribosomal RNA is filed under the name uncultured microorganism. Its description in RNAcentral is "bacterial SSU rRNA". It matches the Rfam family "Archaeal small subunit ribosomal RNA", at positions 459 to 872 of the family's 1478-position model. The record is from RNAcentral.
CAGCCGCCGCGGUAAUACCGGCGGCCCGAGUGGCGGUCACUAUUAUUGGGCUUAAAGCGUCCGUAGCCGGGGUGGGAAGGCCUCCGGGAAAUCUGGCCGCUUAACGGUCAGAAUGCCGGAGGAUACUCCCAGCCUAGGGAGCGGGAGAGGCCGAGGGUAUUCCCGGAGGAGGGGGGAAAUCCUAUAAUCCCGGGAGGACCACCUGUGGCGAAGGCGCUCGGCUGGAACGCGUCCGACGGGGAGGGACGAAGGCCAGGGGAGCAAACCGGAUUAGAUACCCGGGUAGUCCUGGCUGUAAACGAUGCGGACUUUGUGUCGGACAAGCUAUGAGCUUGUCCGGUGCCGGAGGGAAACCGUUAAGUCCGCCGCCUGGGGAGUACGGCCGCAAGGCUGAAACUUAAAGGAAUUGGCGGG